Molecule: ribosomal RNA, 467 nt
Filed under: uncultured bacterium
Lineage: Bacteria
Description: partial 16S ribosomal RNA
Rfam family: Bacterial small subunit ribosomal RNA
Source: RNAcentral
ACGAACGCUGGCGGCGUGCUUAACACAUGCAAGUCGCACGGAAAGGCCCUGCUUUUGUGGGGUGCUCGAGUAGCGAACGGGUGAGUAACACGUGAGUAACCUGCCCUUGACUUUGGGAUAACUUCAGGAAACUGGGGCUAAUACCGGAUAGGAGCUCCUGCUGCAUGGUGGGGGUUGGAAAGUUUCGGCGGUUGGGGAUGGACUCGCGGCUUAUCAGCUUGUUGGUGGGGUAGUGGCUUACCAAGGCUUUGACGGGUAGCCGGCCUGAGAGGGUGACCGGCCACAUUGGGACUGAGAUACGGCCCAGACUCCUACGGGAGGCAGCAGUGGGGAAUAUUGCACAAUGGGCGGAAGCCUGAUGCAGCAACGCCGCGUGCGGGAUGACGGCCUUCGGGUUGUAAACCGCUUUCGCCUGUGACGAAGCGUGAGUGACGGUAAUGGGUAAAGAAGCACCGGCUAACUACGUG